AUUUUACGAUACCACUACAACAGAAUUAGGUUAUAGGGACAUAUGUUUGGGACACUUUUGAGUAAGUGUCUCAUUUAUCCUAAAAUUUAAAAAAAUAUCUACUAAUGCCUAAAUAUAAAGCCCAAUCCAACCAAAAAUAAAAGAUUACUUUACUCAACCCACCACACCCAGUCCAUUUGGCCCGAUUACAAACAGAAAAGAAAAAAAAAAAGAAAAAUCAAUUAUCAUCUUUUCUUCUCUCUUCACUCAAUCCACUGAAAUUCUAGACGAAGAGCCUUUCCUGUCGUCCUCCUCCGCCACCGCAGCCAACGAGAUAGAGUUUCGGGGGUUGCUAAAUGCUUAAAUAAGUGUUGGUAAAUUAGCAGCACUCUUUUAGGUUAUAGCGACACUCUUUAAUUGUCACUAUAUACCUAGUGACCCCACAUAUAGUAACACUUUUUAAAAGUGUCGGUAAUUUUAGCUAGCAGCACUUUUUUGACAUGUACCUAUAUAUAUUUAAAAGUGUUGCUAUGGACCGUUUUUGUUGUAGUGUACUUAAAU
This 540-nucleotide long non-coding RNA is filed under the name Ananas comosus (pineapple). RNAcentral's name for it is "long non-coding RNA (ACOM_LNC005348)". The record is from RNAcentral. Lineage: Eukaryota; Viridiplantae; Streptophyta; Magnoliopsida; Poales; Bromeliaceae.